UACAGAGGCCCCAAGCGUUACUGAGAAUCACUGGGUUUAAAGGGUGCGUAGGUAGCGCGUUAAGUCCGUUGUGAAAUCCCUUGGCUCAACCAAGGAAUGGCUUCGGAUACUGGCGUGCUUGAGGCCGGUAAGGGUCACUGGAACUGACGGUGGAGCGGUGAAAUGCGUAGAUAUCGUCAGGAACGCCAAUGGUGAAGACAGGUGACUGGGCCGGUACUGACACUGAGGCACGAAAGCGUGGGGAGCGAACGGG
Molecule: ribosomal RNA, 253 nt
Filed under: uncultured bacterium
Lineage: Bacteria
Description: partial 16S ribosomal RNA
Rfam family: Bacterial small subunit ribosomal RNA
Source: RNAcentral